UCUGUUGGCUGUUUUGCUUCUUUCAGUGGCCACUAGGCUAAGAAGAUGAGGGCUUGAAAAAAGCAAAGCUUGAAAUUCCUGCCAGAGGUGAAUGGAUGAAGAUAUAGCUGGUUUAACUUUGUAUUGGGACUCUGAGAUGCUCCUUAUUGUCACUGCUUCCAUGGACCCUUUAGGUUAUCCUACUACGAAAUUUUUUCAACCCGUGGCUUGGAAAAUUCCAGUGUGUUUUGCAUAUAAAUUCUCUUCCAUCAACAAUGUCCAAUUCCCUUUCCCAGCUGUGUUAUUGGGAU
Cyanistes caeruleus (blue tit) is the source of this 290-nucleotide long non-coding RNA. The record is from Ensembl. NCBI's taxonomy places the organism in Eukaryota, Metazoa, Chordata, Aves, Passeriformes, Paridae.